Molecule: ribosomal RNA, 464 nt
Filed under: Vreelandella stevensii
Lineage: Bacteria; Pseudomonadati; Pseudomonadota; Gammaproteobacteria; Oceanospirillales; Halomonadaceae
Description: partial 16S ribosomal RNA
Rfam family: Bacterial small subunit ribosomal RNA
Source: RNAcentral
CCUAGGGAGUCUGCAGUGGGGAAUAUUGGACAAUGGGCGAAAGCCUGAUCCAGCCAUGCCGCGUGUGUGAAGAAGGCCUUCGGGUUGUAAAGCACUUUCAGUGGGGAAGAAAGCCUUGGGGCUAAUACCCUCGAGGAAGGACAUCACCCACAGAAGAAGCACCGGCUAACUCCGUGCCAGCAGCCGCGGUAAUACGGAGGGUGCGAGCGUUAAUCGGAAUUACUGGGCGUAAAGCGCGCGUAGGCGGUCUGAUAAGCCGGUUGUGAAAGCCCCGGGCUCAACCUGGGAACGGCAUCCGGAACUGUCAGGCUAGAGUGCAGGAGAGGAAGGUAGAAUUCCCGGUGUAGCGGUGAAAUGCGUAGAGAUCGGGAGGAAUACCAGUGGCGAAGGCGGCCUUCUGGACUGACACUGACGCUGAGGUGCGAAAGCGUGGGUAGCAAACAGGAUUAGAUACCCCGGUAGUC